GAGAGAGAGAGAGAGAGAGAGAGAGAUUCAAAUUUGAUUCUAAAAUAUGUGAUAUCAUUUUUUAGGGACUUCAAUCCAACGAUGAGAGAAAAUCGUCCAAAGUUCACUAGUGUUCAUAUCUUUAAAACUGAUGAAAUCCACCAAGCAAUUGUGAUAUUAAGUCUAGGUAGCCUAAAAAAAUAGUUUGUUCCAUUUAAUACAUUUAUAUUUACAUUUCUCUCCCCCUUUUUUUGUACGUAGACAUAGAUCAUUUUAAAACAAAUUUUGGCCUAUUUUUAUCACUAAUAUAAGGUAAGACAUGUGUUUUUCCGAAAAAUAUUUCAAGCCUAAAAUAAAUUAAAGAACUAAAGAUUUUAAACAUUAUGUUCUUAAAUUUUUUUUAAAAAUACAUACCACGAAACCUUGUUGUAUGGGUAUUUUUAUUAAACAUUUCAAAAUGUAUAAAAUAAUAUAUUUUCAAAUUUUCAUAUAUUUGAAUCUUUAAUAGUAAUACUAGUUUAAAAGUUUAUAUUAUAAUCAAUUAAAAGGAU
RNAcentral lists this long non-coding RNA (530 nucleotides) under Lathyrus oleraceus (garden pea). RNAcentral's name for it is "Pisum sativum (pea) long non-coding RNA (PSAT_LNC039958)". The record is from RNAcentral. Lineage: Eukaryota; Viridiplantae; Streptophyta; Magnoliopsida; Fabales; Fabaceae.